GAUGAAGAACGCAGCGAAAUGCGAUAAGUAGUGUGAAUUGCAGAAUUCAGUGAAUCAUCGAAUCUUUGAACGCACAUUGCGCCCCUCGGUAUUCCGAGGGGCAUGCCUGUUCGAGCGUCAUUAUAACCCUUCAAGCUCAGCUUGGUGUUGGGGCCUGCUGUAACUGGUAGCCCUUAAAAUCAGUGGCAGUGCUAUUAGGCUCUAAGCGUAGUAAUUCUUCUCGCUAUAGUGUGUAGUGAGCGCUUGCCAGAACCCCAAACUUUUAUAUGAUUGACCUCGGAUCAGGUAGGGAUACCCGCUGAACUUAAGCAUAUCAAUAAGCGGAGGA
RNAcentral lists this unclassified non-coding RNA (328 nucleotides) under soil metagenome. RNAcentral's name for it is "partial contains 5.8S ribosomal RNA, internal transcribed spacer 2, and large subunit ribosomal RNA". The stretch from base 1 to 120 matches the Rfam family "5.8S ribosomal RNA", at positions 35 to 154 of the family's 154-position model. The record is from RNAcentral.